GACGAACGCUGGCGGCGUGCUUAACACAUGCAAGUCGAACGGAAAGGCCGUGCUUUUGUGGGGUGCUGGAGUGGCGAACGCGUGAGUGACACGUGUGUAACCUGCCCUUGACUUAGGGAUAUCUUCAGGGAAAUCGGGCUAUUACCCGAUAGGAGACCCAGCUGCGUGGUGGGUUUUGGAAAGUUUCGGCGGUUGGGGAUGGACUCGCGGCUGAUCAGCUUGUUGGUGGGGUAGUGGCUGACCAAGGCGCUGACGGGUGGCCGGCCUGGGAGGGUGACCGGCCACAGUGGGACUGAGAUAGGGCCCGUACGGAUACGGGAGGCAGCAGCGGAGACUUUUGCACGAUGGGCGGAGUCCGGAUGGAGCGACGCCGCGUGCGGGAUGACGGUUGUGGGGGAGUAAGGCGCUUUGUCCGGUGACGGCGCGUGAGUGACGGUAAUUGGUAAGGAAGCACCGGCUAACUACGUG
Molecule: ribosomal RNA, 468 nt
Filed under: uncultured bacterium
Lineage: Bacteria
Description: partial 16S ribosomal RNA
Rfam family: Bacterial small subunit ribosomal RNA
Source: RNAcentral